RNAcentral lists this ribosomal RNA (493 nucleotides) under Annularisca victoris. RNAcentral describes it as "partial 16S ribosomal RNA". It matches the Rfam family "Bacterial large subunit ribosomal RNA", at positions 1817 to 2597 of the family's 2925-position model. Lineage: Eukaryota; Metazoa; Mollusca; Gastropoda; Littorinimorpha; Pomatiidae. The record is from RNAcentral.
GUCUCUUUGAUUAUAUUAUAUAAGGAGUCUAACCUGCCCAGUGAUUAAUUUUUAACGGCCGCAGUACUUUGACUGUGCGAAGGUAGCGUAAUUAUUUGCCUUAUAAUUGAAGGCUUGUAUGAAUGGUUUGACGAAAAUAGUUCUGUCUUAAUUUAAUUUUUUAGAAUUUAACUUUUAAGUGAAGAGGCUUAAAUUUUAUUGAUAGACAAGAAGACCCUGUCGAGCUUAAAUUUUAAUAAUAAAUAUUAAUACUUAUAUUAUUUUUUGAUUUUAGUUGGGGUGACUGAGGAAUAAUAUGAGUUUCCUUAAUUUUAUAAAAUUGAUUUUGAUCCAUAUUUAUGAUGAUUAUUAGAAUUAGUUACCGCAGGGAUAACAGCAUAAUCUUUUUUGAGAGUUCAUAUCGAAAAAUUGGUUUGUGACCUCGAUGUUGGAUUAAAGUUUCCUAUGGGUGUAGAUGCUUUUAAGGGUUAGUCUGUUCGACUAUUAAAACUUU